UUCUUGAAUGUAGUUGAGUUAGGCGGAAUGUGUAAUGUACCGGUGAAAUGGUUAGAUAUUACACAGAACACCGAUUGCGAAGGCAGCUUACUAUACUACGAUUGACGCUGAGGUACGAAAGCGUGGGGAGCGAACAGGAUUAGAUACCCUGGUAGUCCACGCUGUAAACGAUGAUCACUCGUUGUUUGGCAAUACACCGUCAAGCGACUGAGCGAAAGCAUUAAGUGAUCCACCUGGGGAGUACGACCGCAAGGUUGAAACUCAAAGGAAUUGACGGGGGCCCGCACAAGCGGAGGAACAUGUGGUUUAAUUCGAUGAUACGCGAGGAACCUUACCUGGGCUUAAAUGUAGAACGACGGACCGGGAAACUGGUCUUUCUUCGGACGGUCUGCAAGGUGCUGCAUGGCUGUCGUCAGCUCGUGCCGUGAGGUGUCGGGUUAAGUCCCAUAACGAGCGCAACCCUCAUCAUUAGUUGCCAGCGGGUAAUGCCGGGGACUCUAAUGAAACUGCCGGUGUAAACCGAGAGGAAGGUGGGGAUGACGUCAAGUCAGCACGGCCCUUAUGUCCAGGGCUACACACGUGUUACAAUGGUCGGUACAAAGGGCAGCUACCUGGCGACAGGAUGCUAAUCUCGAAAACCGAUCUCAGUUCGGAUCGAAGUCUGCAACUCGACUUCGUGAAGCUGGAUUCGCUAGUAAUCGCGCAUCACCCACGCAGCGUGAAUACGUUCCCGGGCANUGACACACCGCCCGUCAAGCCAUGAAGCUGGGG
Molecule: ribosomal RNA, 771 nt
Filed under: uncultured organism
Description: bacterial SSU rRNA
Rfam family: Bacterial small subunit ribosomal RNA
Source: RNAcentral